UCCUACGGGGGGCAGCAGUGAGGAAUAUUGGUCAAUGGUCGGGAGACUGAACCAGCCAAGCCGCGUGAGGGAUGAAGGUACAGAGUAUCGUAAACCUCUUUUGUCAGGGAACAAAGGCGGGGACGUGUCCCCGGAUGAGUGUACCUGAAGAAAAAGCAUCGGCUAACUCCGUGCCAGCAGCCGCGGUAAUACGGAGGAUGCGAGCGUUAUCCGGAUUUAUUGGGUUUAAAGGGUGCGCAGGCGGAGGUGCAAGUCAGCGGUCAAAUUGCGGGGCUCAACCCCGUACUGCCGUUGAAACUGCAUCC
This 305-nucleotide ribosomal RNA is filed under the name uncultured bacterium. RNAcentral describes it as "bacterial SSU rRNA". It matches the Rfam family "Bacterial small subunit ribosomal RNA", at positions 337 to 640 of the family's 1533-position model. The record is from RNAcentral.